UUUUGGAUUUGAGUAAAAUUCGUCAACCUUAUCUAUUUAAGAAGGCCAAAUUAGAGUCAGAAGUACGCAUCAGACUCUUACAGUAUCACAGCAAGAAGAGAAGACAUGGAAGGCGUAGAACACAGAACGGUGGAAGUGAAUGGCAUAAAAAUGCAUGUAGCAGAGAAAGGAGAGGGUCCUGUCGUGUUGUUCCUCCAUGGCUUCCCCGAGCUCUGGUACUCCUGGCGCCACCAGAUUCUCGCUCUCAGCUCCCGAGGCUACCGCGCCGUCGCCCCUGAUCUACGUGGCUACGGUGAUACAGAGGCACCAGAGUCAAUCAGCAGCUACACCAUCAUGCAUCUCGUGGGUGACAUCGUGGCACUCAUAGACUCACUUGGUGUGGGUCAAGUCUUCCUCGUUGCGCAUGAUUGGGGCGCCAUCGUAGGAUGGUACCUAUGUUUGUUUCGACCAGAGAAAAUCAAGGCCUACGUUUGCCUCAGCGUCCCUUUCAUGCCCAGAAACCCAAAAGUCAGGCCCGUGGAUGCCAUGCGGGCCCUCUACGGGGAUGACUACUACAUCUGCAGAUUCCAGGUGCUUCCUCUGCCUUCUUCAUCAUUUUUCCUAUGGCCCCUGAUAAUUUCUUUUUCCUAUUUAUGCCUUUUUCUCUUUUUAAAUCCACUGUUCUGCUGCGCUAUUCUACUUCUGCCCAUCUCAAUUUGAGAUUCAAAUUCAACCAAUUUUCUUCCUUCCGUGAAAUUCCAAUUAUUAUAAAUAAUAUCUAAGUCAGUGAUACUUCAUUAUCACCCUCGAUUAGAUUUGAAUUUUAUGCAAUCUUUAGGUGAUUUUACUUAAACAAUUUGCUUAGUUUUAGCUUCAACAUCCGAUUUGUUGUUUGUCUGUAUUUGUUUUCCAGGGUUCCAAAAUGCAGAUAGCCUCUCCUCCCAUUUAAUUCAGACAAUAGAAAACAAGUAGAAAACGUACACAGAGCAAAAAAGAAAAAAAUGGGAUGGGUUUAAUCAAAAUGUUUGAAGUUGGAUAGAGUUUAAAAAUAGGCAAUCUUUACCAUAUGAAGCAGUUCUGUAGACUAUGACAUUGAAAGAACAGUGAUCUGAUAUUAUGGUGGUUGUUAUGAUACUUUUGUUGUACCUAAUUGUUGUGGCAGGAGCCAGGCAAAGCGGAAGCUCUGUAUGGCAGUAAUAAUAACAUUGGAGAAGUAAUAAAGAGCAUCCUUACAAAUCGGAGACCUGGACCACCAAUCCUACCCAAAGAAGGGGUUGCCCUUCCUUCAGGGUCCCUUCCCUCAAGACCCCUUCCAUCUUGGCUCUCGGAGGAAGAUGUCACUUAUUAUGCUUCUAAAUUUUCAAAAACAGGCCUAACUGGGGGCCUCAACUACUACAGAAAUCUCAACCUGUAAGUUCCUGAGGUUGCAGGUUGCUAUUUCUAACAUAUGUGGAUGAAUGUUCUACAUUGUCCAUUGAUAACAAUGAAAUUUGUGGUUUUUUUUUUUUUUUUGGUUCAAACCUUAUUGUAUCCUUUUGUGUCAUGUUUACAGCAAUUGGGAGCUCACAGCAGCAUGGACUGGAGCAAAAGUGAAAGUUCCAGUAAAGUUCAUUACUGGUGAUUUGGAUGUAGUAUACACUUCACUAGGGAUAAAAGACUACAUAGACAGUGGUGCUUUCAAGCGAGAUGUGCCAUAUUUGGAGGAAGUGGUUGUGCAGGAAGGGGUUGCUCACUUCAACAACCAAGAAGCUGCAGAGGAUAUCAGCAAUCACAUUUAUGAUUUUAUCAACAAGUUCUGAUGUUUUCAGCUUUUUUAAUGAACUUUGAGUUAGUUCAGUUAAAUAAUUUGGUCACCGUUGAUCUGUGUUACUGGCUGGUUUAUUUGAAUAAUCAUAUGAUUCUGCCAUUACAAAAGCAUGUUUUCCCUUAGAAUAAUAUAUGUAGUUUGCUGCUACAUAAAGUGUAAUCCUUCUAUUCCCUAAGUUAGUGGAAGGUUGGCUUUGUUCUUUUGCAUGAAUUAUUGUUGUAGCGACUGCUUUUAGUUAUCGUGUUGACAAUUCUUGAGCACUGUUUUAUCGACAAUGAAUGACCACAAAUUUUCCCCACUAUAAAUUUUAUCUUCAAUCAUAUAUAAUAAAUAAAUUUAUUUAUUUAUUUUUAUUUAUUAAAAUGUAUAAACAAAAGAGUCAAUAUCAUUGCUUUUUUACUCAGUGGUUCUAAUCUAUAAACUUAAGAGUCAAUGUCAUUUUUUCCCUUUCAUUAGUAUUAAUCUCGUUAGAGAAUAAUGAUUUAAGAAAAUAACCUUUUUUUUCGAGAAAAAGAAAAUGUUUAUAUCAAGUUGUCACCACCUAAUAACAUUAAUGUUCACCUAACAAAAUAAAUCAUAAUAACUCUCUUUAAUAAAUAUUAACAUCACAUUGAGUAGAAAAAAAAAUUAAAAAUAAAAUAUUAAACAAUUUUAGUGAAGACAGAAUGGUCAAGAAAGACGAGAAUAUUUCAAAAAAUUUAAACUCAAAAGAAAAAUUUAUUUGUUGCUUUAUUUAUCUUUUCUUAGUACCUUUAUUGUGCACAGAGUAUUUAAUAAUUGGUAAUGGUCAAAUAACAUAAAUAAUAACUAACAUAAUUAAUGUAUGUCAGAGCAACAUAAAUGAACUCCAACCUAAAUAGUACACAUUGAUGGGAUAAUCUACCUUUGACUCUUACAUUACAGAAGACUUUCUUAAUAAAAUAACAUCAUUUUGUUUUUGUGGUAAUAUCACAAAUAAACUUCUAUACAUUGAUAUGGAUGUAUGAUGAGAAUUUGACGUAACGUUAACCGGAUAUACAUUACUACACAAAAAGUUUUAGAAGUAACUUAUUUUGGAUUUUUAAUAUCAUUUUUAAAAUUGAUGUUUAUAUGGAUGACAUUAAUGGGACGUCAGUUUUUUACUGGUGUGAUGUCCUUAUAGACGUCGGUUCAGUUCAAAGACCGACGUCUAUAAAGACAUCAGACAUUGUACUAACCGACGUCUAAGGUCACCUUAUAUGUCGGUCCGUAACACUUUCGACGUUUAUAAAACCGUCAAACAUUGCAUUAACCGACGUCUAUGGGCACUAUGACGUCGGUUAGUAUAUUAACCGACAUCUAUGAAGUGAUCAUUAUGUUUUGGUGCAGUUUUUGUCGUGUCUUGGGGUAGCGUAGUAGCACCUCCUUCCUUUGCUAGUUUCUUCGUAAGAAAAAAUUGCAUCUUUUGAAUUUCUUAUGGCAUUUCAACCCAAAGACAAACCUGGGUCGUUGCCUAGGUUUAUUCCGACCGCCAAUGAAAAAGAAUACGGUGAGAAUACAAUGUAUUUUUUCAUUGGUGGUCGGAAUGGACAUAGGCAACAACCCAAGUUCGUCUUUGGAUUGAAAUGCCAUAAGAAAUAAAAAAGACGCAAGUUUUCCUUACGAGAAAACUAGCAAAGAGAGAAUGUGCAUUACGCUACACAAAGACACGACAAAAAAUCGCACAAGAACACAACGAAAACUAAUUUUGAUCGGUUCAAAUGAUAGAUAAUACAUCAAAGAUUACUUUAAUCGAAGUAAAAACAACUUUAAAUGGUUAAAAGGUGAGCAAACUUACCUGCAAAUGCAGUGCAAUGGAGAGAAAAGGCGAAGACGAUGAAACUGUUGGUUCACAAACUACUGUUUCGCAAGGAUUAUUUAACAAGAAAUUAGACGUCAGUUGGACACAAAACCGACGUCUAUAAUCCCAUAUAUGUCGGUUGCUUCACUAAUAUGACGUCCAUUCGAUUUAAAAAUUAAUAUUUAUGUUAUAUAUAAACGUCGGCUUGGCGGGAUGAGACGUCUAGUUGGUGAAAACGAAUGACUUUUCACAUACCUGGUCAGAUUAUAGACGUCGAUUACAAAGACAACUGAUGUCUAGAAUUGUAUAUUGACAUCUAUGUGGCAGGAUCCGACGUUUAUAACGCGGAAAAAAGUGACUAUUCACCUACCUGACAGACAUAUAGACAUCAGUUAGAAGGUGCCCCGACGUCAAUAGUCUGACAGGUAGGUGAGUAACCACUAAUUUCCGCCAUAUAGACGUUGGGGAUCUCCAAUCUGACGUCUAUAUGUCUGACAGGUAGGUGAAUAACAUUAAUUACCGCCAUAUAGACGUCGGUGCCCACUCUGAACAGACGUCUAUAUGUCUGAAAGAAAUGACUUUUCACCUAACUGUCAGGACGUCCGAGGAGAAUUCCCCGACGCUUAAACUGCCACUGGUCCUCAAUAUACGUUGUGCUUACCCUUAACCGACGUCUAAGGGAUGACGUUAAACAACGUUUUUGCAUUAGUGAUAUUUCAAUUAAUAGUUUAUGAUUAAUAUCUAAUAUUUGAAAUAUUUAUAAUUAAAUUAAAAUAAUUAUAUAUAUAUAUAUAUAUAUAUAUAUAUAUAUAUAUAUAUAAACAAAAUAAGAUACAAAUAUCAUACUUAAUAUGAGUUCUUUCUUCUAAAAUAAGAACUUAUACCGUUCAACUUAUAUUUUUUCUAUAUUACCAUCCAUUAUAGCUAUUGCAUCCUGAUAAAAUAUAUUGUCUGUUGAGUUGGAUUUCCUAUAGUUUAUUAUUUUAUCAUUAUAAUAAAGUAAUUUUUUGAUUCCAAGAGAUAAGGUGAAAAUUCAAAUUUAGAAUUAUAGUGAUGUUGCCGUGUAUGAUGUUGCCGUGUAAAUUCAAAUUAUAUUAACAAUUAGAAUACGAAGGUUAAUACCUUAUACAUGAAAAUUCAAAUUAUAAUAAUAGUUACAAUAUGAAAAUGAUUUUUAUAUUAUUUAAGGAAAAAUAUUUAAAUCAUACUAUUAAUUUAGAAUUAAUAAUUUUAACAAUAGCUAUAGAUAAAAUAAAAUUUUGAAUAAUUUUAUUAAUAUUAAUUUAUAAGAUAAUACAUAUAAUAAUUUUUAUUUAAAAAUUAAUUUAUUUGUAUUUAUAAUUAUUGAAACACAUAAUUUAAAUUAUAUUAUUUAAUAGAAUAUUAAAAUUAAAUAGUAAUUAUUUAAACAGUUUUCUAGAUAUUAAUUUUGAUUUUAAAAUAUUAUAUUUGUAAAGUCAAAAAUAGUUAUAUAAAUGAUUUUUUUUUUCUAAUUUUCGUAGUUUAUAAAAUAAUUAAAUUAAAAGUUAAUUUUAAAUAACUAACAUUAUUUAAUACAGAGAUAGCCUUUAAACAUGAUUUAUACUAUAAGUUUGCUAAUUUACAUGAAUCAUUAUAUUAUUAUUAUAUUUAUAUCCUAUUAUAUCAUAUUUUAUUAGCGUUAUGUCUUAUGUUUAAAUAUUACUCUUGCAACCGCGAGUUUAUAAAAACCCACUUAAAAUAAAAGUUGAAGAUUGUGAUUACCGCAAUGAAUCCAAUGACAAAAUGUUGGGGGAAAAACAAGGGUCAUGUAUCAUUAAUUUUAAAAAAUAUUAAUGUUUGUUUAUAAAAGUCUUGUUAUCAUUACUAGUAGAAAGGUAAGCAGAACAAGGAUACCAAAAUAAAUAAAAAAACUUAGAAUAGCUAAAAAAAAAUAUGAAUCUCAAGUCCCACAAAACUAUUAUAAACAACAUAAAAAAAACUUUUAAUGAGUAAAAAAACACAAAGAAAGGUCAAAUAGAUGAUUUAUAUGUAAGAUAUACUAUGGUUGAAGAUUAUUCAGUUUUAUUAACUAUAAUUUAGAGGUAAUUGAUUAAAUAAACAAGAUAUGGCGAGGUCAUAGGUCGAUUAUUGAAUACUUUGUAAAGAUUAAUUUUUUUUAUUGAAAACUGAGAUUUGUACUUCAAAUAAGUAAGACCAAUACAUUAUAUACUGAAUAUUGUUGGUCGGAAUUGAGUACCAUGUCCCUUAGCCAAAGACUAGGUGUCAUUCACUGAUGGAUGCGCUCCUCACUAGAGUCGGGUGUCGCCUACCUAAACCUAUCAUUAUUGUCAAAAAUAUUAAUAUACCACAUAAUUUAACUGAAAUUGGUAAUACAUCGCUACGAGUAAAAUGAUCAUUAGGCUAAUGAGUCCACAAUCGAGACCCAUCUAGGUAAGGACCCAUGAUUAGUAAAAUACUCCUAUAAGUAUUAUUUUAAUACAGUUUUGAUUUUACUUUUUGCAUUAAUCAUACUUUAAUUAGAAUCUCCGACUUAAAAUACUAACUUGAGUGAAUCUUUUGUAAGCAUCUUACCCAUUCAUUUUAUAGAAGACGAAUACCAAAAAGAUAAAAGAGGUUUGAAGGACUAAUACAAAAGAGAAGAGGUUUGUAAAAUAGAACAAGACUUUUUCCAAGAUACCUUUUACUCUAUAAAUACAUAAGAGUAUGCUUAAAUAUACAAUUAUAAAAUAUUUGAGAUUUUAAGAACUGUACUAUUAAAAUUUUCGUCAUUCUGAAUCGAAAAAUUUUCAAAAUAUUCUAGCUUGGAUGUGAUAGCACGCACAUGCCAAUCCAAAUCCAAACAGGGUUUGUAUGCCUUGUUGGAAUUUAAGAGUAUUAGAGACAAUUUUCAGAUUCAUGAAGAGUUACAAUUAUUUAUGAAAAGUUACCAUUCAUGAAGAGUUACAAUUAUUCAUGAAAAGUUACCAUUCAUGAAAAGUUACAAUCAUUCAUGAAGAGUUACAAUUAUUCAUGAAGAGUUGCUAUUCAUGAAAACUUACAAUCAUUCAUGAAGAAAUGUAACUAAUCAGAAUCUGGUAUCUCUUGGAUUGAUGCCUGAUCAACAUCUAUAUAAAGGGAUUCUGUGCUCUACAGAAAUUCAUUUUGUCAUUCUCUUAACACACAAAUCAAUUUUUGAGAAUCAUAUUCUUGUUUAACGGUAAUAUUAAGAGUGAGUAUCAUCGUUGUAUUUCAUCUUUGUAUCUCAAAAGCGGAUUUCGUGAUCCCCUUCACUCUUAUAAGGGACAAAAUAUUGCUUUUAGGAAAGUCUGUAUUCACGUCUAGAAGAAUAUAUCAAGUCUACAUUGUUGUUCAUCUUGUUUCCCUAAGUUCUUGGAAAAUUGUUCCAACAGUCUAAAAGCAAUAUCUUCUCAAAGAUGACAACAAUUCGUGAGAUGUCUGCAAAAUUUCAAAAAUUAGACAAGUUUGAAGGCGAUGGCAAAAGAAGAUGCAUUUCCUUCUCUCGACUCUAAACGUGACAUAUGUUCUAAGUUCUCCCCAACCCAAAGAAAGCGAAACCGAGACAUUAGAGGGACAACAUAAAAGGAAAAAAAUGGGAGAAUAAUGAUUAUGUUUGUCGUGGUCACAUUCUGAACGGUAUGUCUGAUCCUUUAUUUAAACAUUUCUAUCAUUUUAUUUCUCUAUGAAGGAUAUGGGAGAAGAAGAUGUUAUACUAGGUAUAAAGAUUAAGAGAGAAAAUGAGAAAUUAAUUUUGUCUCAAUCUCAUUACAUUGAGAAAGUACUCAUGAAAUUCAACAAUUAUGAAUGUUCUCUUAUUUCAACCCCUAUGAACUCUAGUUUAAAGAUAUUACCUAAUGGUGGUAAAACAAUUUUACAACUGGAAUAUGCAAGGGUAAUAGGAUGUUUAAUGUAUGCAAUGACAAGUACAAGGCCAGAUGUUGCUUUUGCGGUAAGCAAAUUGAGUAGAUACACUAGUACCCUAGUCUAUCACAUUGGCAAGCAGUACAUCGAGUACUUAAGUAUUUAAAGAAAACUAUUACUUAUGGAUUAACAUAUAGUGGUUAGUUAUCCUUCAGUUUUGGAAGGAUAUUCUGAUGCAAGUUAGAUUACAAAUGCAGAAGAUCAUUCUUCAACUAGUGGUUGGAUUUUCCUCCUUGGGGGAGGUACGAUUUCUUGGUCGUCCAAGAAACAAACUUGCAUUACAGAUUCCACUAUGGCUUCAGAGUUUAUAGCUCUAGCCUCAGCAGGAAAGGAAGCCAAUGGUUAAGGAAUCUCAUGUUCAAAAUACCAUUGUUACCAAAACCAAUAUCAGUAAUAGCAAUACAUUGUGACAAUGUUGCAACAUUGGCAUAGGCUUAUAGUCAAGUAUACAAUGGCAAAUCAAGACAUAUUGGUGUGAGACAUAGUUAUGUCCAAGGACUCAUCAAAGAUGGAAUUAUUAUAGUAGAUUUCGUACGAACAAAGUUUAAUUUGGCUGAUGGAUUUACUAAGGCAUUGGCUAAAGAUUCCAUUUCCAAAAUGACAAUUGGAAUAGGAAUGGAGCCCACGAUUAAUCACAAGUAAGAGAAUCUUAACUUAACGCUUAAUAUGACAUUAAGUCUUAAGUUCAAUAAGAUUAAAUCUCUUGUUUGAUGAUUGAAAACACAAAUAAUUAUUUCAAGAGUGCUUUAGAUCCGUGAUGCUUAGGAGUUUGAAUAAUUCUUAAUUGAUUUCUUGAACUUAUGUUUUAUCACAAAAACAUGUUUACCUAAGAAAUCAACCUAUGUAAGUGCGAAGUUUGGCCGCUUCAAAAAGUCAAGGGGGCAUGACUUUGUUGCACUUAUGAAUAGAUAUGGACGCAUGGCCCUAUUGUGUCAAGUAUAACAAGAAUAUGUAAUUUAUCUUAUAUGUAGAGUAUUUCAAGAAUUCAUUAUGUAUUAUGUUGGUUCAAUCGUUGCGACACCAAUAAAAUACGAAUUCCUGAACUGAGUAUUCUACUAAGUGAAAGUUUAAUUCUAUGUACACUUUCAUUUAUGUGUAAGAUUGCAAUUAUUAAAUUGAUUUUUGUGUUACGUAAUUAUACAAUACUCUCAAAUGGUGGAGGAUUGAUGAAAUUUAAGAGUAUUAGAGAAAAUUUUCAGAUUCAUGAAGAGUUACAAUUAUUCAUGAAAAGUUACCAUUCAUGAAAAGUUACAAUCAUUCAUGAAGAGCUACAAUUAUUCAUGAAGAGUUGUUAUUCAUGAAAACUUACAAUCAUUCAUGAAGAAAUGUAACUAAUCAGAAUCAUUCAUGAAGAAAUGUAACUAAUCAGAAUAUGAUAUCUCUUGGAUUGAUGCCUGAUCACUAUAUAAAGGGAUUCUGUGUUCUACAGAAAUUCAUUCUGUCAUUCUCUUAACACACAAAUCAAUUCUUGAGAAUCAUAUUCUUGUUUAACGGUAAUACUAAGAGUGAGUAUCAUCGUUGUAUUUCUUCUUUGUAUCUCAAAAGCGAAUUUCGUGAUAUUGCUUUUAGGAAAGUGUGUAUUCACGCCUAGAAGAAUAUAUCAAGUCUACAUUAUUGUUCAUCUUAUUUCCCUAAGUUCUUGGAAAAUUCUUCCAACAUUCCUUCCACCAAACAUUUGGAGAAAACUUUCAAAUGGACAUAGUUCAAAACAAACUCAUCUUUACACAUUGUUUUACAGAGGAAAGUCCAGCCAAGCUACCUAAAUAUUUAAAAUUAGUGUUCAAUGUAUGCCACAAACCUAUUAAAAAAAUGCCCCGUGAUAAAGUCUUCAGCGUUUAAGGUUUUGUUUAGAUGAGUUUUUUGUUUUAAGUUAGAAUUACAAUAAUAUGAAUGAGAUUUUCAAUGUUUUUUUAGCUUAGAAAAUUACUAAGUGAUUCUUAGAAUAAUGAAAAGACAAAAACAUAUAGUACCACUAGAAAGCGAGUUGAAGGAGAUGAUCUCAUGAUAAGUGAAUAAUAGUAGGCUAAGUUUUCAUCUUUGUUUAACCUCCUUUUAAUCAUAGUCCCUUUAGCUUUUGCAAAGGUUUGUCAACGUUAACCGUGAUACGUUGCAUAUUAACUCUUGGAUUCCUCAGUUUUGGUACAAUUCAAUCUGGAUGAGGAAGUUGUGCAUAUAAACUUUUAAGGUUUGGAAUUCUGUUUCUUUUUUAAAAUAAAGAAACAAUUUAUUGCUAUUGGAAAUUAAAAAUUAAUAUUUUGUUGUACACUAUGGAAUAUUAAUUUUUCUAUGGUGUUUUAAUUUACUUGCAUUUCUGAUACAAACUUUAUUUCUUAUAGUUGAACAUGUAACAGAUUGUGAAAUUAUAAAUGCGGUGAAUGGUGAAUAAUUAUAAAUAUAUGAUAUUUGAAUUUAAACGGUUGAAAUCGCAUAUUAUAAAGCCAUUUCAAAGUGUGACAACUUACAUUUUAUAGUAUCAUUUUCCGGUGUCUAUCAUUGAAUGUAUAACAAAAAAAUAAUAAUGAUAUUUUCACAUGUAUAUUACAUUGACAAUAUAGUAAGAAUAAAAUAGUCUUAAACUAAAAUUUUGAAUUUGUAAAAGAAAAGAAAAAAUAAAAAAUAACAAAGAAUAAUAUUAAAUGAAUGUGAAAAAUUUGUUUGUAUGAAAGUACUGUUACUCUUUCACAAAAUCAUCCUAUGUAUUGUAACAUCCCAAAAUAUAUAGUAUAAAUUAUAUAAUAGAGUCAUUACAUGCAUGAUAAGAUAGUACAAUUAUCUGACUAUAAUAUAAAGUAUUAUCCUUACAGUUAUCCAAAAUAAUCAUAGAAUUUAAACUUUAUAUAUAACUAUUACAAAACUAUCUACAAUACUACUUCUAAAACUACUAAACAGUUGGAUCCUCUCCAUCAAGCGCCUGCUCCACGGAGAUCUCAUCUCCCUCUGCUCACACCCACAGGAUGAUCAUUACAAAGGAAAAACACCACACAUAUAAAAACACAGAUACAAGAAAAAGGGUAAGCUAGAUAUAAAAGAAUUCAUAUAACAUAGAACAUAUACAUGAUAACUCAAGCAAGAUAAUAUAGUUAAGACAUCCUAACAUGUUACGACCUAAACUUGAUCGUCCAGACUUAGAACGGUUGGCGAGCUAUGACGGGUCAUGCACUCGUGGUGGCCUCUACUGCUUUGCAAAGUCAUUACCAAUGGGUUUCAUCCUACUACACUCACGAGGUUAGUAUGUUCGAGCCUUGAGACACACUGGAAGCUCCUAAGAGUGAGACCUCCUACUAUUCUUCACGACAUGGUUCAAUCCUCUCUACUUGAGAAUGAUAAACCAUUGGACAUGAUAAUCUCCAAGACAUAACUUCUGCAUUCAUUCUAAAGAAACUUGAAUCUCACCAAGAGAUUUCACAUUGAAACUUACUACUUUACUUUGAAAACAUACUUAAUCUCCCUUUAAAUCAUAACUCAAAUUACUUGAUACUCAUAUAACUUUUCACACAAUCAUACUUCAUUUAAAUCAUUAAUCUCAUCAUUAAAAUCAAACAAGGAAAAUCAAGAAAAGAGUAACUAGAACUUGAACCAUUCACUUAGCACACACUUUCGCAUAGCGAACCCAGAGGUUUCUCGCAUAGCGACACAAGCUCGUUGUGCGAAUAAACUCCCAGUGGUACCAGACCUCAAUCCCUCACAUAGCGCCCCAAUUCGCUAUGUGAAAGCCCCAUACAGAGACCAAAACUCCCCAAACACCCGUUAUGCGCACUCCUUUGCUAUUCAAAUAAAUCUGGCAGUGAUCCCAGACCCUAAUCAGAUAGAGAGCAGACCCCUUUGACCAUUCGCAUAGCACACCCUCUCACUAUGCAAAUUGCUCAGACAGAGAGCACUUGUCUUGACCACUCGUUGUGCAAAUCCAUUCGUUCAACGAGUCUGCAUAAUUCUGCAGCAUGAAUUCUGGAGAAUUAUGCAACUCAAACCAAGUUUACUAAUUCUAACUAUUUUUCCCAACUUCUAACCAUCAUAAUUUGUUUUGUAUACCUAAUUAGACUUGACUAAACGUUUAUGGACAAUUUCCUACUUCAAAACCUCUUAAAUCACAACUUAUAGACCCAAAGUCUAAUCUACCACUUUUGACACAUUUUUGACCAACUUAAGAGCUCAAGCAAGUCACAUUUGACUUACCAAAGCUGCUUUAACAAUCCACUUGAGCAUAUAACCUCUAAUUCUCAUUUUCACUACCCCACUUCCUUAAAUUAACCUUAAACUUGACAUUUGAGACUUUCUUCAUAACCUAUCAACCCUAUAACCUAUUUUUAACCUUCCAUACAUCUCACAACACAUUAAUUAUCAUCUAAAACCAGUCCAUCAUCAGAGUUCAUCAAUUUAAAAUCAACAGUCAUAUAGCAAUAAUACAAUUAACUCGCAAAACCUAAAUUUAGUUCAAACAUUUCAAGAAACACAGAGUUCAUCAUAAUUUCAUGUCAAAUAACUAAUUAAAGCAAUAAUUUAGCUUCCCUUACCUGAAUCAAAUUCUGCCCAACUCAAAAUCCCCGACAGAUGCUUGCACCACAAGGCAACUCUAAAAAUCACCAAUUGGUGGUGAAAAAUCAACCUUAGAACCUAGUUUGAGUUCGAAAUUGAAGAGAAAAACAACAAAAUACAUGUAACCAGAAAUCGUUGCAUGAUCAUAGUCCAAAAACAUACAGAGAAAGAGGAGAACAACUUACCGACUCAAAACAAGAAAUUGAUCGGUAUAGAUUGUAGUCCUUGACGCCAAACUUGUCUAGACACUUCCUGAUCGUCGAACAGAUAAACCAAUUGUGAGAAAAGUUAAAAAAAUGUGAGAGAAAGAAAAAGAAAUAAUAUUUUAAAAAAAUAAAAUGUAUUUAGAUAAUAAACCGAACUUUAUAAAUUUCUAUUUAUAUAUAUUAUAAAAUUAUUUUAAAAGUAAAAAUACUAGUCUCGUUAUUUUAAUACAGAAUAACUUGUUACAUAAAAUAAAAUAAGAUUCGAGAAUGAAAUAAUUGCAGUUUCAUACCACAGAUACUAACUAAAAUCCCACAAUAUUGAAUCGGUCUAAAUGAUCUAGAUUCACGCCAAAUUAAAAAUAAAAAAUAAACGAAGUCAAGGCGUAGAAAGAAAAGAUAAAACGAAUAAUGUGGCAGGUGAAAGCUCAAUCAAACAAAGAAAAAGCAAAAGUAUAUUCACAGCAGCCACAUCAAUCUAAGAAAUAUAUUCUUUCACAGACGUACAAAAUUUUUACAUUCUUUUUAUAUUAUCCUUUUUAACUUUUUAUUCUUAAAAAAAUAUAGAAAUUUAUAUUUCUAUAAUUAUUUUUAUAUAUUAAAUAAAAGUAAAAGUGUAUUAUGAUAUCAAGACUCGCCUCAACUAAUCGAAUAGUUUAUCAGUAAUGAAAUAUUAUUAUAAACUCAUCAAAUAUUUUUAGAAACCAAACCAUUGCAGCUAAAGAAAGACUGAUCCACCAAUUGUACUGAAUUCAAACUUAAAUUGAAAACUUCUUUCUAAUAAAAUAAAGAAGCAAACAGUAACCAGUAUUACCAUAUAUACAUACAUAUGGAUCAUAUUGGUUGAAGACAAAAAACAUUUUGAAAUUAGGAAGGGAGUGACUUGUGAGAUGGAAGAGAUAGAACACAGAACGGUGGAAGUGAAUGGCAUAAAAAUGCAUGUAGCAGAGAAAGGAGAGGGUCCUGUGGUGUUGUUCCUCCAUGGCUUCCCUGAACUCUGGUACUCAUGGCGCCACCAGAUUCUGUCUAUCAGCGCCAAAGGAUACCGCGCUGUAGCACCAGACCUCCGUGGCUACGGUGACACAGAGGCACCAGCUUCAAUCACCAGCUACACAUGCUUUCACAUAGUGGGUGAUUUGGUUUCGCUUAUAGACUCUCUGGGUGUCCAGCAAGUCUUCCUUGUGGCUCAUGACUGGGGAGCCCUCAUAGGUUGGUAUCUCUGCAUGUUUCGCCCUGACAGAGUGAAGGCCUAUGUCUGCCUCAGUGUUCCUUUACUCCACAGAGACCCCAACGUCAGAACCGUCGAUGCCAUGCGUGCUAUGUACGGAGACGACUACUACAUCUGCAGAUUUCAGGUUAUUUAUAAUUUGCUUAGAAUUUGUCAGAUUUUCCUAAAAUUUUGGAAAGGUUCAUGAAAAAUAUAUGUUUAUGUGAAAUAAAGGAAUGAUUUUGUUCGAUGGUGACCAUUGUUUGAAACCUUAUGACAGAAACCAGGCGAAAUGGAGGCUCAGAUGGCUGAAGUUGGCACUGAGUAUGUUCUCAAAAACAACCUUACAAAUCGUACACCUGGUCCUCCAAUCUUUCCCAAGGGAGAGUUUGGAACUGGAUUCAAUCCAGAUAUGCCUGACACCUUGCCCUCCUGGCUCACGCAAGAUGAUCUUGAUUACUUUGUCUCCAAAUUCAACAAAACGGGUUUCACUGGAAGCUUGAACUACUACAGAAAUUUUGACACGUAAAUUCUUGAUUUUCCGGGUUGCCAAGGAUACUGUUUUCCACUGCUAUAAAUUAUGCUUAUUUUUCGGGAAACUCGGUUAAAAGUUGUGGGUAUAUUUUUGCAGAAACUGGGAGCUGACGUCACCAUGGAGUGGAGCGCAAAUAAAGGUUCCGGUAAAAUUCAUCACCGGAGAUUUGGACUCGGUGUACACGUCGCUGAACUUGAAGGAGUAUAUCCACGGUGGUGGUUUCAAACAAGAUGUGCCAAAUUUAGAAGAAGUGAUUGUGUUGAUAGGAGUAUCUCAUUUCAAUAAUCAAGAAGCUGCCGAGGAAGUCAAUGAUCACAUAUACCAUUUUAUCAACAAGCAUGCACAUGCAAAAACAACCUUGAACACUGUGGAAGAUUCAUAGAGCCAAAAGGUCUUCGUAGUGAGGAAAAUGAUAUUUUAACACCAUUUUUUUGAUACUAUUUUGACACUGUACACGUGUCAAAAUAUGAUUAGACGAUUUCAAAUUAAAAAAUGUUGAGACAGGAGUAUGUUUGGAAGAAAAAAACCAAAGUUUGUUUUUUAAUUUGAAAUCGUCCAACCACAUUUUGACACGUGUACAGUGUCAAAAUGGUGUCAAAAAAUGGUGUUAAAAUUUUAUUUUCCUCGUAGUUAAGGUUCAUGCACUUCAUUUCGAUAUAAACCCACAUCCAGUAACCGUUUAUGUCCCUUUGUAAUACUAAAUAAAAUUUUCAAGUUCGUCUCUUCAAAAGGAACAGGGUACUUUAUAUUUGUUGGAAAAUGAUAUUUUAACACCAUUUUUUGACAUCAUUUUGACACUGCACACAUGUCAAAAUGUGGUUGGACGAUUUAAAAUUAAAAAAAUAAACUUUGAUUUUUCUUUUCCAAAUAUACCCCUACCUCAACUUUUUUAAUUUAAAAUUGUCCAAUCACAUUUUGACACGUGUGCAGUGCCAAAAUAGUGUCAAAAAAUGGUGUUAAAAUAUCAUUUUCCAUAUUUGUUUAUGUCCCUUUGUAAGGAAAAUGAUAUUUUAACACUAUUUUUUGACACUAUUUUGACACUGCACACGUGUCAAAAUGUGAUUGGACAUUUCAAAUUAAAAAAGUUGAGACAGGGGUAUGUUUGGAAGAAAAAAACCAAAGUUUGUUUUUUAAUUUGAAAUCGUCCAACCACAUUUUGACACGUGUGCCGUGUCAAAAUGGUGUCAAAAAAUGGUGUUAAAAUUUUAUUUUCCCCUUUGUAAUACUAAAUGUCAAAUGGGAAGUAAUUUUUGGAAAAUGAUAUUUUAACACUAAUUUUUUUGACACCAUUUUGACAUUACACACGUGUCAAAAUGUGGUUGGAUGAUUUCAAAUUAAUAAAAGAAUUUUGGUUUUUCUCUUCCAAAUAUGUCCUUGUCUCAGCUUUUUUUAAUUUGAAAUCGUCUAAUCACAUUUUGACACAUGUGCAGUAUCAAAAAUUGGUGUUAAAAUAUCAUUUUCAUUAAUUUUUACACCAUUCUUUUAAUUCUCAUUUGACAGGGUACGUCUAUUUUACACCAAAGUUAUUUCUAUGUCUCUUUUUCUUUAAAAAUAAAAAGAUUAUUUUGUUACAACCAUUUUAUCUUAGAGUUGUUGAAUGUAAUAACUGUGUCAAAUAACUUUUUUUUUUUCAUAUGGAUGGGAAUUUGACCGUAAUCUUUUUAUUUUUUAAUUAAAAGUUUAUAACAUUUUCAUUUUCCUGAUACACUCCUACACAUAUGUAUCCAUGUACUUUUAUUAGUAUUGAUUAAUUAAAUAUUUUUUUAUAGAAAAAUAACAAUUCCAUCAAUGAAAAUGAAGGAUUCAGUGGGCUAAAAUUAAACACAAAUAACUAAUUAACAAUACACCAUAUUUUUGCACAAUGUUGGAAGGAAAAAAAUAUUUAAAAUUUGAAUAAAUUAUGAAUAUAGAAAUAGUCGGACAGUUAAAAGAAUGAAUAAAAAAAUGUAUAAAAAAAAUGCUCAAAUAAAAUGAAACUAAAAACUAGAGCUAUCAAAAUGGGUCACAACUGUAAGUCAAUUCGGCCCACCACAGGUUCGGAUCAGAUUGGGUUUGAAAAAAUUGUAUUUUUUUAUGCGGGUCAGAUUUCAACCCAGCUCAUUUAAACCCGGCUCAUGCGGAUUGCACCCGUGGUGGGCCAAGUUGACCCACCAACCCACCCACAUAAUUUUAUUUAUUAAAAUUUAAUUUUAAUUUUAUAAAAAAAUAUAUAUUAUUUUUUUUGCUUGAAAAAAUUAUUUAAGUUUUCUAUUUUCAAAAUUAAUUAAACUGUCAUGACUGAAAUUUAGAAAUAAGAUUUGUUUAUAUUUAAAUUAUAGAAAAUUUAUAUAUUUUUUUAAAUUGUAAUUAAUUAAGUCAGCAGGCUGGUAAGCCAAUUCGUUUAUCCAACAAUAUGUGGUGUGUCGUGUCGAUUCUAGCUCACUAACAAAUAAGUCGAAUUGGAUUAGCUCACUAAGUAACCAAUCCGUGAUGGCCGGGUCGGAUUGGCCCGGAUGACUCGUUUUAACAACUCCACUAAAAACCAAAUAUUAAAAAGUAAAUAACUUUUUAGGUCAUUUAAUAAAUUAAAGGUGUGGAUAAUUGAAACAGUCAAAGUUACGACUCGAAUUCUUAGAAAAAAAUAAAAAAUAGAUAUAAAUAUUAAAAUAGCUACUUUUAAAAUAUUAAAAGACUAAAUUAGAAUCUACUUUUAGAAUAGGUAACAUGUUUGUAAAUAAAUUUGAGGAUCAAAUUAAUAACUACUUUAAACAUUUAUUUAAUGACAAUCAAACAUAAAGAUAGUUCGAAAACUAACCUAAAAACCCCACUUAAUUAUUGGUAUGUUAGGUAAGUUGUAUUAUUCUCUUGUCUUUCAUAUCGUCUGAAAAUUAAUUCCAUCUUUUAUAAAUUCAAUUACGUACUGGAUUUCGUAUUUGAUUGAUACUUUGAGAUUAUAAUAUCACUAAAAUCUAACCGAUUGUAAAUAUAAUUUUAAUUUAAGUCAUUUCGGCUUCCAAUUUCAGUUUUUACUUUGUUAUUACGAUGGAAAAUUCAUGUAUGCUGCAUGCAUAUUAUAAAAUAAAUUUAACAAAAAAUUUCUUGCUAGCCCCAACUCUUCACAUAUACAAAUGGCAAAUUAUGAACGAUUUAAAGUUCAUUGGAUUAGAAGAAAAAUUUAAUGUCUAAUUAAAAAAAAUCACGUUGUAUUAUGCAAAUAGUGUUGUUAUUGAUUACGUCUAUAAUCAGGCAACCCAAAAGGCUCAGAUUAAAAUUGGACUUAUGAGGGCUAAGCCCAAACCAGCUAACAAGGUCCAGAUGUCCAAUUCGUUUUCAGAAUUUAAAACUCAAGUACAAUAUUGGGUGUUGAUCCGUGGGCGUUAAUCCCUCCACUUCCACAUAUUUGGUCUUCUACCUCCCCAUUCCAAUCUUUUUCCUUCUUAUAUUUCUAUUUUUUUAUAUUCCUAUUAUAUCCUUAAUUAAAAAUUUAUUUUAUAAGUUAAUUUUAAUUUCAAUCUCCUAUUUUACAAAACUUAUUUUUUCUUAGCUUGAUCCCUCACCCACGUAUAUGCUCUCUCUGUUGUUAUUGUUUUUUUUUUUAAUUCUUUGUGCUCAGGCUCUCUCUUGCUAUUGUUUUUUUUUAAUUCUUUGUACUCCCUCACUGUAAGGAAUCGUGUAAAGGAAAGGUGCAACUGUGCAUAUUUUGUCUCCGUGGUUGAAAGAGAAACGUGCGCGACACGUAAUCCCUGAAAUGGAUGUCGAAAUCCGUCGACGGAUGUGCGACAUCCGGUUUAAGCCUGGACGUCUUCUUCCUCCUAUCCACCCAGAAACAUCAACAACAACGAAACAUAAAUUCGCGCACAGUAGAAAUCAACACAAUCUUAAACCCUAUAUUACAAAAGGAAGCAGAAAUCAACACAAAUUAUAUCAUGCUGAACGAAAGAAACUAACCUCUCGUAGACCAAGAGAUAGAAACGAAACUACGAAGCAACAACCACCGCGCCACACUGCCGCACCGCCGCACACACCCACCGCACCAUCGAACCGCCACAACACUGCACCGCCGUAAUGUCGCAUCGCCGCACACCAAAAGUUAAAAGCACAGGAAGAUGAGUGGGAGUGUUGGAAUUUUGGAAAAUGGAACUUGGAGCGUGGGGGUGAGAAGAAUCAGAGAAGGGGAGGUGGGGCUGCGUUGAAAGUGAAAGUAAAGUCUGAAUGAAGUGGAAAGUUAAAUGUUAGGGUUAUUUAGUAAAUAGGGUUAAAAAAGUAAAAAAAAAAAUAAGAAAAAGUGAUUUUUGUAAUUAAAGAAAAAAAAAUGGGGAGGUGUAGGUUUGAAAUGGGGAGUGGAGGGAUCAAUGCCCUGAUCCCUGCACCUCUACGUUUUUGGCCCUCUACCUCUCCAUUUUUUUUUAUAUUACUAAAAUAACUUUUUUUUACUUUGUAAUUUACUUUUUAAACCCUCUUUUAUUUAAGUAACCCUACAUUUCUUACUUUCCCAUUUUCAAUUUCACUCUCUCACUCACGGUAACACACAACACCCCCACCUUCCAGAUCCGUUUCCCUUCACUUUCGUUUUCAUUUUUUUUAACCUAUAAUUCCCAACUUCAGUCCUCUGUUUGUUUGUGCAUUUUGUGGUGGUGCAGCUUUUGUUGGGUGCGGCGGUGCGGCCUCCGUGUGCGGCGGUGCGACGGGUUUGUGCGGCGGUGUGUUCGGUGGUGGUGCUUCGUUUCUGCCUGUUUGUCUUCGAGGGGUUAGUUUUUCGUCUCUUCUUCUGCUUGAUAGAGAAGCUUAGUUUGUUCAUUUUGAUUUCUUCUUCCGCGCAUGCAUGUUGCUGUUGGUUUCUGCCAAGGGCUCUGCACGAGAGCUUAGUUUUUUCGUUUCCUUUCUUGAGCAUGAUAUAAUUUGUCUUGAUUUUUGCUUGGUUUUUUUAAAUGUAUGUAAUAGAGCGUUUCGGUGUUGCUUUGUGCUAGUGCUGUUUUUAUGUUUUUCUGUGUGAGGAUUUAUGAGUGAGUAGGAGGAAGAAGACACCAGACAUAAAGGGAUGUCGCACAUCCGUUUGGACCUGAAACGGAUGUGCAUAUCCGUCAGACAUAAAUUUUAGUUCAGGGUAUAAUAGGAAUAUAAAUAAAAAAUAAAAAUAUAAAUAAAAAAGAAGAGAUAAAAGUGAGAUGUGGAGAUAUAGGGCCAAAAACGUGGAGGUGCAGAUCAACGCCCUACAAUAUUUUAUCGAAAGUUGAGAACAAUUUUCAAAAAAAAAAAUUGAAAAGAAAAAGUAUACUUUGAAGCCUAUUUUUUUUUCUUACUUUUACUUUAUAACUAUUUUUAAUAAUAGAAUAUCAUAUUUAACAAAUAAAAAUAAAAAUAAAUAAAAUUUUAAAAUAUAAUAGUAGCAUUCACGAUUGUCAAAUGUAUAAGAAAAAUGAUAGUAUCAUGGUACUUUUAUAAUGGAGGGUAGUUGAGCAAAAGUUCAGAUUUAAUUUAUGUUCAAAACUUUAAGGUUAAGUUUUACAUUUACAGAACAAGUCAAGCUGGUUAAUUAAUUAAUGUCUAAAAAGAAUUUGAAUUAAAAGAAUACAGAAAUAAACACAAAAUCCCGUACAAAAUUAAACAAUUUAUAAUCUAACAAAUUGGAAUUAAAAUACUUAUAGAACAAUUAAAAUUUUGUAUUGCAUAAAUUAACCUCUUUUUUAUUUUCUCUUUAUAUUAAGUAAGUGCUUUCAAUUUUCAAGUGGAUGAGACAGAAGAUUGAAAUGUUCCAGAUCUUGUCUUUAUACGGUUGCAUGGGAAGAAUACGUGUCAUUUGAAAAGAAAUCCAAGAAUCCAAGGUUUAUAUUAACUCAAUCAUAUCGGUGGUCCCACACCUUAUAUAUCUACUGAAAACAACAACCAGUCACAUUCUAUCGUUUUUCUUCUAUGUUCUAAUCACUUUAAGUAUAUUUUCAUUAUUUAGUAAAAAGUUUUAUUAAUUAUUUUAGUUUAUAAAUUAUGAAUAUCACACAUCGUUUUUCGAACUUUGUAAAAAUGGAAAAAUUCGGUUCAAAAUUUAAAACUCUAGUACGAUUAUUUUCUUCCUGUCAGGUUAGAAAAUAAGUUUAAGAUUUCACAACGUUGUAUAGUUAUUACAACGUUGUAAUUUUUAUAUUUUAUUGUUACUCCUUAUAAUUGAAUAAUAUUUUAGAAUAAAUACUUUGUAAUUGAUUUACUUAAAAAAUGUUAAUUUUUAUUGCCUAUUCUUUUAGUGGAACAAUAAUUAUUAUUAUUAUUAUUAUUAUAUUUUAUAAAAUAAUCAAUCCUAUUCAACAUAAAAGAACUGUUCAGGAAUUUAAUGAGAAAGCCUGUUAUAAUCUAAAUUAUAGGCAUUUGAUGAACUUCACACGUAUUCCCAAUCUGAAUUAUAGGCUUGACCAACUUUUUACAAAUUUUGUUUGCUUUUGUCUAAUGUCAAAAACAGUAUCAUCAAUACAUUGCAAUUUAAAUGGAUUUGAUGAAAGAAAGUAAAUGUCCACAAGUAUACAAUAAGAUUUCAUUAUGAGCACGCAAAUCUUCAUAUUGUAAGUUUCUGUCAUCACAAUGUCGUGGUGUGUAUAUAUAAAUUAAGAUUAUAUAUUAAUAAAUAAUUUAAUAAAUCGAAAUAAUAUGUUGAAUCAACAUAAAUCUUAUUAAAAUAAAUUAUAAUUUAUAAUUUUUAUACCAUAUUAAAAAAAGGAGAAUUUUAAUAUAAUUUAAUUUCUUAAAGCUAACUUAUAUCCAAUUAUAUAUUUUAAAUUAAUGUUAUAUGUACUUCCGACAACCAUAUAAAUAUAAUUGAUUAGUAAUAGUUACGUCACAUAACGCACUUCUUACAAAAUUAGUUACUCAAUAAUUCAUCACGCUCUUCAUCAACACGUGGACCGGGGGACCGUGAUUUUGGACCGAAAUAAAGAUUGGGUUUGCGUCGAAUACCGCUACCUAACAAUUUAAGACCGACAACUUAAAAAAGUUACCAUCAAUUUAACGUUUUUUUAGAUUUUAAAUAAACCUAAAAUCAGUGUUCAUUUCAAAAAGUUGUUUGGUUUAUGUAAAGAAAAAAGUUAAUUUGACAGGCCAUCAGAUUCAUUUGACACGAUGUUAAUAAUAUAAUAAUGUAAUUAUAAUUUUAAAUUAAAAAAUUAAUUCAAUUAUAAUUAAAAUAUUAUUAUUUACAUGUAUUAUAUAUAUAUAUAUAUAUAUAUAUAUAUAUAUAUGAAUGUUUUUAUCCGUAUUUCUGAGUGAAAUACCACAAUCUUGUGUAAGGAAAAAUUUCUUUUAACAACAUUUUUUUAAUAACUUUUUGACAACGCAUACGUGACAAUUUGUGAUUGGUCUGUUUUAAAUAUUUUUUAAACAUAAAUUCAAAUAGACCAAUAAAAUGAUGACAAGUAUCCCGUUAUAAAAAAAGUUUUCAAAAAGUGUUGUCGGAACUAUCAUUGUCCCUUAUGUAAAUAUCGUUUCAGGGCAAUUACCACGUACAGCAGUUAAAGAAACCCGAGGAAGUCUCCAUACAAAUAAAUGAAUAAAUCUUAUUUAAAUAUACGGACCAAUAAGCCAAAAAGUAGACUAUAAAGUGAACCGCUAUCUCUAGAUAAUGUGGUGUAUCGNAUCCAAUAACACUUAAAACCAAAGAGCGUGUGAUUAGAUUUCGUACUAAGAUGGAAGGCGUGGAACACAGAACGGUGGAAGUGAAUGGCAUAAAAAUGCAUGUAGCAGAGAAAGGAGAGGGUCCUGUCGUGUUGUUCCUCCAUGGCUUCCCCGAGCUCUGGUACUCCUGGCGCCACCAGAUUCUCGCUCUCAGCUCCCGAGGCUACCGCGCUGUUGCACCGGAUUUACGUGGCUACGGUGAUACAGAGGCACCGGUUUCAAUCAGCAGCUACACAGGCUUUCAUAUAGUGGGUGAUCUGAUUGCGCUUAUAGACCUUCUGGGUGUCGACCAAGUCUUCCUUGUGGCUCAUGACUGGGGUGCCAUCAUUGGUUGGUAUCUCUGCACGUUUCGCCCCGACAGAGUGAAGGCCUAUGUCUGCCUCAGUGUUCCUUUGCUUCACAGAGACCCCAACAUCAGAACCGUCGAUGCCAUGCGUGCUAUGUACGGAGAUGACUACUACAUCUGCAGAUUUCAGGUAUAUACUCAUUCUUAUUUUUCCCAACACUGUUUUUCAUUUACUUUUAAGCUCUUUUUCUUUUAUGUGAAGUGAAAGGAGAAUUAAUUAGUGUAGUAGUGUUAGAUCUGAUGGUAAUUAUUGUAUUGAAAACUCGUUACAGAAACCAGGCGAAAUGGAGGCUCAGAUGGCUGAAGUUGGAACUGAGUAUGUGUUGAAAAACAUUCUGACAACUCGAAAACCUGGUCCUCCGAUAUUUCCCAAGGGAGAGUAUGGAACCGGGUUCAAUCCAGAUAUGCCGAAUUCCUUACCCUCUUGGCUCACGCAAGAUGAUCUUGCCUAUUACGUAUCCAAAUAUGAGAAAACGGGCUUCACAGGACCCUUGAACUAUUACAGAAAUAUGAACUUGUAAUUAAUCUAUGAUUUCCUUUUCGGUUAAAAUUUAUCAGAAAGACAUGUAAUUGAUUAACUGUAUUGCUGCUUACAGAAAUUGGGAGCUGACAGCACCAUGGAGUGGAGGAAAAAUUCAAGUGCCGGUAAAGUUCAUCACAGGUGAGUUGGACAUGGUGUACACCUCACUGAACAUGAAGGAGUAUAUCCACGGUGGAGGUUUCAAACAAGAUGUUCCAAAUUUAGAAGAAGUGAUUGUGCAGAAAAAUGUAGCUCACUUCAAUAAUCAAGAAGCAGCUGAGGAAAUCAAUAAUCAUAUUUACGAUUUUAUCAAGAAGUUUUAAUCACAGAACGAAUAGAAUACUGAUAAAAAAAACAACGAAUUGAAUAUGGAACACACAGUCGAAAGGUUGUAGGUGACGAAGACUCUGAAUGGUUACCGAUGGGUUUAUCUUAUCCUUUUAUCAACUAUCAUAUCAUUGUCACCACUGUUGUCACUACAUCUUGUCUUUCUCUUUUUUUCUUUUCUUUUCCUUUUAUUCCUCUUCUCACCCAUAUUCUCUUAAUAAAAAAAAUCAUUAAAUUCGAUAAUAAAUUUAUUGUUCAUUUUAUAGAUAAAUUUAUCAACAAAAAUAUCUUCAGUAAUAAAAUCACAAAUUAUUGAUGGAACAGACCAUCAUGUGCAUUAUUAAUAAAAAUAUUCAUUAAUAAUACAAAUUAUGAUUUAUUAAUAAAUUUUUUUUACAUUAAUUAUCGAUAAAAAUAUAGGUCAAUAAUUUAAAUCCCAAAAUUCAUUAGUAAACAUACUGAAAAUUUAAUUUUAAUUUGUAUCAUCAAUAAUUAAAAAAUUAUUUUAGUGUUAAUACAAAUCCAAAAUUUAUUCUUAACCAUAAAUAUAAUAAUUUGUGAAACCUCUCUCAAAUAAUAAAUAAAAAAUUGUUUUAUUCAUUAGAAAAAUCAUAAUUUUAACAUAUCCACAUAAUUUAACACAAUUGAAAACGAAACAUAAAUAUAUAAUAUAUAAAUAUAUAUAGAACAUAAUUAUUAUCUCAAUCAUUAAUUUAUUUUUAAAAAAACUUAAGGAUAUGUUUUUAGCCUCUAAAUUAUUAUACAAUUUUAGUUUUAAUUAUUUAAUGAUUAACACUGUAAAUUUUUUUUAUGUAACUAAAUGGUAUGCAACGUCUUCAAAAUAUAUAUAAUUAACUAAUAAAUUCUCUCAUAUAUAUCCAAUGUAUUAUGAAUUAACAUUAAAUCUUAAACAUGUGUUAGGCUUAAAACAAACUAUAUUUAAUUUAAUUAUAGUACUUGGUUUUGGAUAUUAACAUAAUUCUUUACUUAGUAGUUACAGAACAGAAAGUGAAGAUGAUGAGACAAAAAAGUUUAAUUAGAUUAGAAGAAAAAUGGCACAUUAUGAACAAUUUAAAGUUCAUUGGAUUGGAAGAAAAUUUUAAUAUCUAGGUAAAAAAAAAAAGAUUACUUUGUAAUACGCAGAUAAUAAUGUGUAAUUGAUUACGUCUAUAAUCAGUCAACCCAAAGGACUCAGAUUAAAAUUGGACUUAUGGGAGCUAAGCCCAAACCAGCUAACAAGAUCCAGAUGUUCAAUUCGUUUUGAGAAUUUAAAACUCAAGUACAAUAUUUUGUCGAAAGUGAGUAAGUUGAGACCAUUUAAAAAAAAAAUUAAGAAAAAAGUAUACUUUGAAGCCUAUUUUUUUCCUCUUACUUGCACUUUAUAACUCUUUUUAAUAAUAAAAUAUUACAUUUAACAAAAAAAAAUUAAAAUAAAAUAGGUUUAAUACCGCUUUUGAUCCCUAGUUUGGGAGGUUUUGUUCAAUAUGGUCCUAGCUUUUUUUAGUAACAAUUAAUCCCACUUUUUGAAAAAACUGUUCAAUUGACUCCUUUUUGGUUACGACGUCAAUUUUCCAAUGAUGCUGGUUACGACGUCAAUAAGUUCUUUCAUGCAUUCACCUAUCCAAAUGUUAUUUUAACAGUCCUGACAUAAUGUUAUGUUAAGUCCUGACAUAAUGUUAUGUUAAAAAUCAUGUCAUCAUCGUAUACAAUAAGGACUAUAAUAAACAAUUUAAACUUGAAUAUGGGAUGAUAAUAAACAAUUUAAACUUGAAUAUGGGACCACUAUGAACAAAAAGGACUCAAUUGAACAGUUUUUUCAAAAGGUGGGAUCAAUUGUUAUGGAAAAAUAAAAGUAGGACCAUAUUGAACAAAUCCUCCCAAACUAGGGACCGAAAGCGGUAUUAAGCCAAUAAAAUAAUAGCAUUCACGAUUGUGAAAUGUAUAAGAAAAAUGAUAAUACCAAACUAUCAUGGUACUUUUAUAAUGGAGGGUAGUUGAGCAAAAGCUCAGAUUUAAUUUAUAUUCAAAACUUUAAGGUUAAGGUUUACAUUUAUAGAACAAGUCAAGCUGGUUGAUUAAUUAAUGUCUAAAAAGAAUUUGAAUUAAAAGAAUAAAGAAAUAAACACAAAAAUGUUAAUGAAGGUCCCGUACAAAAUUGAAACAAUUAAAAUUUUGUAUUGCAUAAAUUAACCUCUUCUUUAUUUUCUCUUUAUAAUAAGUAAGUGCUUUCGAUUUUCAUGUGGAUGAGAUAGAAAAUUGAAAUGUUCAGAUCUUGUCUAUUGAUAUUUUAUUGACACGUGAAACACGCUUGCAUGGGAAGAACUUACGUGUCAUUUGAAAAGAAAUCCAAUAAUCCAAGGUUUAUAUUUACUUAAUCAUAUCGGUGGUCCUACCUUAUAAUAUCUACUGAAAACAACAACCACAGUCACAUUCUAUCGUUUUCGUUCUAAGUUGUAAUCACUUUAAAUAUAUCUUCAUUAUUUAAUCAAAAAGUUUCUUAAUUAUUUUAGUUUAUAAAUUAUGAAUAUCAUACAUCGUUUUUCGCACUUUGUAAAAAUGGAAAUAUUCGGUUGAAAAUUUAAAACUCUACUACGAUAAUUUUCCUCCUUUUCAUUUCUUAAUUAUCUAGGUAGAAAUUUAAAUUUCUAGAUAAACAAAGUAAUUCAGACCAUACCUUGUUUAUAAAGCAGAACAAAGAAAUAGUGGCCAUACUUAUUAUCUAUGUAGAUGAUAUGGUGUUAACAGUUGAUUAUGUGGAAAAAAUGAAAUUACUUGAGAAGAAACUAGCUGUUGAAUUUGAAAUGAAGGAUCUAGGACAACUAAAAUACUUUCUUGGCAUAGAAAUUUCAAGAUCUGAACAAGGUAUUUUUCUAUCUCAAAGAAAAUAUAUUCUAGAUAUUCUAUCUGAGAUUGGAAUGUUGGCUUGCAAGCUAGCCGAUACUCCUAUUGAAACGAAUCAUUCUCUUACUGUAUAUCUAGACCAGAUUGAGACGGACAAGCAUAGAUACCAGAGGUUAGUAGGAAAGUUAAUUUAUUUAUCUCACACUAUACCUGACAUUGCCUAUUCUAUGAGCAUUAUAAGUAGGUUCAUGCAUUCUCCUAGUGAAGAACAUAUGACAGCACUAUACCUUAUCCUCAGAUACCUCAAAGGUUCACCAAGGAAAGGUUUAUUAUUUUCAAAAAACGAUAAAGCUUGCAUAGAAGGGUACACAGAUUCAGACUGGGCUAGAGAUAAAACUACAGGGCAAUCAACUUCAGGGUAUUUUACCUUUGUAGAAGGCAACUUAGUCACAUGGAGAAGCAAGAAGCAAAAGGUAGUUGCAAGGUCUAGUGCUGAAGCUGAAUUUAGAAGUAUGGCAUAUGUCAUUUGUGAAUUACUAUGGAUUAGAAGCAUCCUAGCUGAUUUGGGAAUCAAAUAUGAACAACCGAUGAACCUUUUUUGUGACAACAAGGUUGCAGUAGAAAUCGCACAUAACCCGGUUCAACAUGAUAGAACCAAACAUGUUGAAGUGGAUAAACAUUUUAUUAAGGAAAAGCUAGAUAAUCAAGUAUUUCAAACUCUAUAUGUUCGAUCUGAAGAUUAACUUGUUGAUAUAUUAACAAAGAUUUCAGGAAAGGUGUUUCAAGAAUUCAUUAACAAAUUGAACAUGACUGAUAUUCAUGCACUAAGGGGAAUGUUGAAGAUAGGAUUCUGUUUCUAAAGUUGUUUCCUAUUUUUACGUAUAAGCAGUUAAUAGUGCGUAUAUAAUUAUACCUCAUUAUUUAAAAAAAAAUGAACGAAAGUAUCGUAUUUUAUUCUCAGAUAUGUAUCUUAGUUUAAAGGAUAUUCUAAGUUGACUUUUUUACUAGUUUUAUUUUUCUUGUUUACUGCCUUAAAAUGUGUUUGUGAAAUUUCAGGUGGUGGGUUUAUUUAAGUGAGCUCAUAUAAUCUGUAAUGAAGAAUAAGAUGUGGUGGGCUGUUCGCUCAACCUGUUUAAUUAAUUAACUCUACACGUUAAUAUAAUAUUCGUGAAAAAUGUAUUAUUUGUUUAGUUAAUGUUGUAGAGGAGAAAUGUAUUAUGAAUCUCAUAAUUAUAUAUUGUUAUUUCGACUUAUUAUAUUUGUAUAUUUAUUUCUUUUACAACUCGGUUCUGUAAUAAAACAUAGAUGUUCAUUAAUUAUUUCUCUAUCACAAUAUUCUAAAAUUUUCAAAAUAACUUCAUUUGCUUAGACAAAACAAACAAUGUCAUGUGUCAUGUCAAAAUAAUAGUUAACAAAAUAAUGAGUUUGGUUACAAGAAAAUAACAAAUCCCUAACUUGAUUAAUGAAUAUAAUGUAGAAUUAAUUGCGGGUGUCAUUUUCAGAAAUUUUAAGUAGUUUGAUUUUUUAUUUUCUUCAUUUAUAAUAGUAAAAAUUUAUCGAUAAAAUUAUAAAAAUUAAUAAUUAAAAAUUUAGUGAUAAAAUAGUUGUCAAUAAAUUAUAUUCAUGGACUGUGAAAUCAAUUACAAUUAAUCUCAUAUUUAUCAGAAAAUAUUUAUUAAUAAUUAUUUUAAUAAAUUUUGAUCAAUGGAAUUUGUCAAUUAAUAUCUUAAUUGAGUUUGCUUUCUCUUUUUUCUCUCUUCUUUUUUUUCUUCUUUUUCUUCCUCUCUCAUCUCCAUCCUCUUUUUUCUUCUUCUUUUCAUAUUUUUUUUCUCUUCCUUCUUCAAUUUUUAUCACCAUUGUCAACGAGCUAUUGUCACACCAUCAUGUGAUUGCCACCACUGUCGUCACUGUAUUUCGUCUUUCUUCUUUUCUUUAUCUUCCUCUUAUUCCUCUUCUCACCCACCUUUUCUUAAUAAAAUAACUCAUUAAACUCGACAAGAAAUUUGUUGCUCAUUUCACAAAUGAAUUUAUCAACAACAAUAUCUUCAAUAAUAAAAUCACAAGUUAUCAUGGAACAAACAAUCAUAUACAUUAUCAAUGAAAAUAUAAAAUUAUAAUACAAAUUAUAAUUUAUCAAUAAUUUUUUCUUACAUUAAUUAUUGAUAAAAAUAUAGGUCAAUAAUUUAAAUCCCAAAGUCCAUCAGUAAAUAUUAGUUUACUAAAAAACUGAUUUAAAUUUGUUUCAUAAAUAAUUAUAAAAUUAAUGUAGUGAUAAUACAAAUCCAAAAUUUAUUUUUAACCAUGAAUAUAAUAAUUUAUUGAACCUCUCUUAAAUAAUAAAUAAAAGAAAGUGUUAUUCAUUAGAAAAAAUCAUAAUCUUAACGUAUCCACCUAAUUUAAUACAAUUGGAAACGAAACAUAAAUAUAUAACAUAUAUAGAACAUAAUUAUUAUCUCAACCAUUAAUUCAUUUUUAAAUAAACAUAUAUCCAUUAAGGAUAUGUUUUUAAGUCUCUAAACUAUCAUAUAAUUUUAGUUUUAGUUUUUUCAUAAUUAACACUGUAAUUUUUUUUCUUCUAUGUGGCUAAUGGUAUGCAAUGUUUUCAAGACACAUGUAUAGUUAACUAAUAAAUAUAGUUAAUUAAUAAAUUCUCUCCUACAUUCUUAUCAGUGUCCUUCUAUUAAACAUAAUUGAAAUGUUGAUUAUUGUCAUUAAUCGCAUAUCUAAUAUGUGACGGAUUAGCAUUAAACCUUUAUCAUGUGUUAGGCUUAAAACAAGCUAUAUUUAAUUUGAUCAGAGCACUUGAUUUUGCGUAUUAACAUGAUUCUUUACUUGGCAAUUACAACACAGAAAGUGAAAGGAUGAUGGAGAUUGUCGACAGAUUGAAGCAAAAAGUUUAUUUUGUUUGCUUGUACAUUUUAAUUAGCAUUGGAGAAUCGAACAUGAUUCAAGAUCAAGAAAGAACUCCACAACAAUUGAACUCCAGGUUGAAAUUAAGUCUAACCCUAAUCUCCAAUUGUUUUAGUUCUUUCUCGAUCUUAUUCUCAAUAACAAAUUUUGAAAAUUCGGUAUUCCAAUCAACUAAUUCAAGAAAUGAUUUCCACUCUCUAAUAAACCCAAUUAACCUUAAAUAUUGUGGAUAUCGAAAAAUUAAUCAACCAAAAAAUAUUAGGAACUCAAACUAUUUCAUUCAAUGAAUUUAAUGUUUUUUAUUUUCUAAAAUAUAAUAUACGUAUAAUAUAUAUCUCUGUGUGUGUUUCUUUUUUUUUUUUUUAAAUAAAAGAAUAAAAUAUAUAGUCAAUUUAAAAUAGUUAAGUGUUGAUAUAUACAUAACUUAUAUCUCUAUCAGAUCAAUUUGAAUAUUAUCGCCCAAAAUCAUAACAGAUUCAAAUUAUAUAUAUAUAUAUAUAUAUAUAUAAAUAAAUAAAUAAAUAAAUAAAAGUUUGUUUGUCAUCCUAUUUUUGGUAUUGAUACAAACAAUGAAUAGAAAACAAUGAUAAAUCAUUCACGUUCAUCAAAUAAAAAUAAUGUAGCAAAUAUCAUUAACUAUAUAUUUAAAAAUAUGAAUUAUAUUAGUAAUUUAUCACAAUAUUUAAUUAGUAAAAACGCAUUUACUAAUGAGAUGAAAAAAAUAAUAUUUAAAUUACAAGUAUCAUUUAUUAGUUUCACCCGCCUAAAAAAUUAUAUUUAUGUUAAUUAUAAUUUUUUUAGAUAAAGGCCCUAUUACAUAUAUUUUAAAAAUAUAUUAAGAAUCCCUUUGACAAACAUUAUAAUACUACGAUCUAAUUUAAUAAGUUCUAUACAAGAGCUUUUAUGCUAUGCGUGGCUAAAAUUUAAUUAGUUAUUUGUGUUUAAAUUUGUACAUUGAAAAGUAUUUACGUAAUUUUGAAAUGAUUGAAUACAUUAAUUACAUUAGUACUUAUUAGAUAUUAUCUAGUUCCAAAAUAGAAAUCCAAUAUUGAUUAAAAUGUAUCCACGCAAAUAUUUUGUAGUAAAUUUAUUAUAUCUUUUUGUAUAUACAAGUUAAAAGGUAGAUAAAAAGAAAUGGAAGAAACAGUAGUAAAUUCUCAACAAUUGAAAAUAUUCAUUUAUCAUGAUGAGAAAACUUAUUUUUAAAAAGUAGUAAAUUUGUCUUUUUCUCUUUAUUGCUCUGCGUUUUCAAGUAUGUUUUCUCUCCUUUUAACUAUUUAAAGUUGUUUUUACUUCGAUUAAAGUAAUAUUUGAUAUAUUAUCUCUCAUUUGAACCGAUUAAAAUGAGUUUUCGUUGUGUUUUCGUGCGGUGUUUUUGUUGUAUCUUUGUGUAGCGUAGUGCACCUUCUCCCUUUGCUAGUUUUCUUGUAAGAAAAACUUGCGUUUUUUGGAUUUCUCACGGAAUUUCAAUCCAAGGAUGAAUUUGGGUUAUUGCUUAUGUCCAUUCCGACCGCCAACGAGAAAGUAUACGGUGAGAAUACACCAUAUUCUCACCGUAUUCUUUUUCAUUGGUAGUCAGAAUGGACCUAGGCAAUGACCCUAGUUCAUCUUAGGGUUGAAAUGCCAUGAGAAGUCCAAAAGACGCAACUUUUUCUUAAGACGAAACUAGCAAAGGAAGGAGGUGCUACUACGCUACCCAAGACACGACAAAAACCGCACCAAAGCACAACGAUCACCUCAAAGACGUCGGUUAUUGUACAAACCGACGUCUAUAAUGUCCCAAAGAUGUCGGUUAAUGUACAAACUGACAUCUAUAAUGCCCCAAAGACGUCGGUUAAUGCAAUGCUUGACGGUUUAUAGACGUCCGAAGUUUUAUAGACUGACGUCUUUAGACGUCAGUUAGAACAUUGACUGAUGUCUUUGUAUACGUCGGUCUUUUGAACUUAACCGACGUCGCACUUAUAAAAACUGACGUCCCAUUAACGUCACCCGUAUAGACGUCGGUUCUGAUUAUAACGUUAAAAGUUCAAAAUAAUGGACGUUUAAAAUCCUUUUUGCUCUAGUUAUUGCAUCAUAUUAAAAAAGUAUUAUUAAGACGUUGUAAAAGUUCACUUAUGUUUAUUUACUGAAAAAUAAAAAAAAAAUCUUUUUUUAAUUAAGUUUUUUUUUUUUUUCAUAUUGACCGCGUUGCUACAUCACAUUUUAGAGCAUGAUUCUGAUAAAAAAAAAAUAAAAGAAAUAGUGAUAACAGCAUGUAGAUUAUCAUCGAAGGUGUUUGUAAAGCAGAAAAAGAUAACUUUAUAAAUGAACAGUCGCAAUUGUGGAAGUUAUUUCUCUCGAAAAGAUAGAGAUGGAGGGAAUAGAGCAGAAAGAAGUGGAAGUAAACGGCAUCAAAAUGCACGUAGAAGAGAAGGAGAAGGCCCUGUGGUGUUGUUUCUCCACGGCUUCCCCCAACUCUGGCACUCUUGGCACAACCAGAUUCUGGCUCUUGAUUCGGUCGGAUAUCACGCUGUUGCACCAGAUCUACGUGGUUUCGGUGACUCAGAUGUCCCCUCUUCAGUGACCAGCUACACAUGUUUUCACAUAGUGGCUGACAUCGUUGCCCUUAUAGACCUUCUGGGUGUCGACCAUGUCUUCCUUGUGGCUCAUGACUGGGGUGCCAUC
Molecule: long non-coding RNA, 31202 nt
Filed under: Vigna radiata
Lineage: Eukaryota; Viridiplantae; Streptophyta; Magnoliopsida; Fabales; Fabaceae
Description: long non-coding RNA (VRAD_LNC010596)
Source: RNAcentral